Molecule: transfer RNA, 71 nt
Filed under: Atta laevigata
Lineage: Eukaryota; Metazoa; Arthropoda; Insecta; Hymenoptera; Formicidae
Description: tRNA-Leu
Source: RNAcentral
AUUACUUUGGCAGAAUAGUGCAAUAAAUUUAGAAUUUAGUAAAAUAUAAUGAUUUAGUUAUAUAAGUAAUA